GCACUGCUGAGGAGUCCCAUACUAGGACGAAACGGCCGCCCAGUGC
Non-coding RNA from Schistosoma curassoni, 46 nucleotides. Lineage: Eukaryota; Metazoa; Platyhelminthes; Trematoda; Strigeidida; Schistosomatidae. The record is from Rfam.